RNAcentral lists this ribosomal RNA (767 nucleotides) under uncultured Bacilli bacterium. RNAcentral's name for it is "bacterial SSU rRNA". It matches the Rfam family "Bacterial small subunit ribosomal RNA", at positions 28 to 776 of the family's 1533-position model. The record is from RNAcentral. Lineage: Bacteria; Bacillati; Bacillota; Bacilli.
GACGAACGCUGGCGGCGUGCCUAAUACAUGCAAGUCGAGCGGACCGACGGGAGCUUGCUCCCUUAGGUCAGCGGCGGACGGGUGAGUAACACGUGGGUAACCUGCCUGUAAGACUGGGAUAACUCCGGGAAACCGGGGCUAAUACCGGAUGCUUGAUUGAGCCGCAUGGUUCAAUUAUAAAAGGUGGCUUUCAGCUACCACUUACAGAUGGACCCGCGGCGCAUUAGCUAGUUGGUGAGGUAACGGCUCACCAAGGCGACGAUGCGUAGCCGACCUGAGAGGGUGAUCGGCCACACUGGGACUGAGACACGGCCCAGACUCCUACGGGAGGCAGCAGUAGGGAAUCUUCCGCAAUGGACGAAAGUCUGACGGAGCAACGCCGCGUGAGUGAUGAAGGUUUUCGGAUCGUAAAACUCUGUUGUUAGGGAAGAACAAGUACCGUUCGAAUAGGGCGGCACCUUGACGGUACCUAACCAGAAAGCCACGGCUAACUACGUGCCAGCAGCCGCGGUAAUACGUAGGUGGCAAGCGUUGUCCGGAAUUAUUGGGCGUAAAGCGCGCGCAGGCGGUUUCUUAAGUCUGAUGUGAAAGCCCCCGGCUCAACCGGGGAGGGUCAUUGGAAACUGGGGAACUUGAGUGCAGAAGAGGAGAGUGGGAUUCCACGUGUAGCGGUGAAAUGCGUAGAGAUGUGGAGGAACACCAGUGGCGAAGGCGACUCUCUGGUCUGUAACUGACGCUGAGGCGCGAAAGCGUGGGGAGCGAACAGG